This 462-nucleotide ribosomal RNA is filed under the name uncultured bacterium. RNAcentral's name for it is "partial 16S ribosomal RNA". It matches the Rfam family "Bacterial small subunit ribosomal RNA", at positions 28 to 507 of the family's 1533-position model. The record is from RNAcentral.
GACGAACGCUGGCGGCGUGCUUAACACAUGCAAGUCGAGCGGAAAGGCCCUUCGGGGUACUCGAGCGGCGAACGGGUGAGUAACACGUGAGUAACCUGCCCUAGGCUUUGGGAUAACCCCGGGAAACCGGGGCUAAUACCGGCUAUGACCUGGUGCCGCAUGGUGUUGGGUGGAAAGUUGUUUCGGCCUGGGAUGGGCUCGCGGCCUAUCAGCUUGUUGGUGGGGUGAUGGCCUACCAAGGCGAUGACGGGUAGCCGGCCUGAGAGGGGGACCGGCCACACUGGGACUGAGACACGGCCCAGACUCCUACGGGAGGCAGCAGUGGGGAAUAUUGCACAAUGGGCGGAAGCCUGAUGCAGCGACGCCGUGUGAGUGAUGAAGGCCUUCGGGUUGUAAACCUCUUUCAGCAGGGACGAAGCGUGAGUGACGGUACCGGCAGAAGAAGCGCCGGCCAACUACGUG